GAACCUUCGGGUUAGUGGCGGACGGGUGAGUAACGCGUGAGAAACUGCCCUCAGGAGGGGGAUAACAGUUGGAAACGACUGCUAAUACCCCAUAUGCCGAGAGGUGAAACGAAUUUUGCCUGGGGAUGAGCUCGCGUCUGAUUAGCUUGUUGGUGGGGUAAAAGCCUACCAAGGCUUCGAUCAGUAGCUGGUCUGAGAGGACGAUCAGCCACACUGGGACUGAGAUACGGCCCAGACUCCUACGGGAGGCAGCAGUGGGGAAUUUUCCGCAAUGGGCGCAAGCCUGACGGAGCAACGCCGCGUGAGGGAUGAAGGCCUUUGGGCUGUAAACCUCUUUUCUCAAGGAAGAAGAUCUGACGGUACUUGAGGAAUAAGCCACGGCUAAUUCCGUGCCAGCAGCCGCGGUAAUACGGGAGUGGCGAGCGUUAUCCGGAAUUAUUGGGCGUAAAGCGUCCGCAGGCGGCCGUUUAAGUCUGUUGUUAAAUCGUGGAGCUCAACUCCAUCACGGCAAUGGAAACUGUUCGGCUUGAGUAUGGUAGGGGCAGAGGGAAUUUCCGGUGUAGCGGUGAAAUGCGUAGAUAUCGGGAAGAACACCAGUGGCAAAAGCGCUCUGCUGGGCCAUUACUGACGCUCAUGGACGAAAGCCAGGGGAGCGAAAGGGAUUAGAUACCCCUGUAGUCCUGGCCGUAAACGAUGAACACUAGAUGUUGGGGGAAUCGACCCCUCCGGUGUCGUAGCUAACGCGUUAAGUGUUCCGCCUGGGGAGUACGCACGCAAGUGUGAAACUCAAAGGAAUUGACGGGGGCCCGCACAGCGGUGUAGUAUGUGGUUUAAUUCGAUG
RNAcentral lists this ribosomal RNA (841 nucleotides) under uncultured bacterium. RNAcentral describes it as "bacterial SSU rRNA". It matches the Rfam family "Bacterial small subunit ribosomal RNA", at positions 81 to 956 of the family's 1533-position model. The record is from RNAcentral.